RNAcentral lists this long non-coding RNA (6033 nucleotides) under Octopus sinensis (East Asian common octopus). RNAcentral's name for it is "uncharacterized LOC115212348, transcript variant X1". Lineage: Eukaryota; Metazoa; Mollusca; Cephalopoda; Octopoda; Octopodidae. The record is from RNAcentral.
ACUCACAAUUGUGAGGUUGUGGUUUUGAUUCCCAGUCCAGAUGCUGCGUUGUGUUCUUGAGCAAAGCACUUCAUUUCACAUUUCUCUGUGAUCAUUUUGACAUCUGACAUGUAGUUGCCCCUGUACGAGGAAUGUCAAUUUGAUGGAGAGAAUGAGCUUAUGUGUACACAAAUAUUUGACCACUAUGAACAAAUCACCUGUGUUCAGUAAGAAAUUGUCAAACCCUCAUGUCAUCUAAAGAGAAGAGAGUCCAUUCUAUAUAUAUAUGUGUGUGUGUCCCCUCAUCACUGCUUGACAAAUGAUGUUGGUUAUGUCCCUGUGGUUUGGCAAAAGAGACUGUUAGAAUAAGUACCAGGCUUGAAAGAAAAUAAAUCCUUCGGUCAAUUUGUCUGACUAGAAUUCAUCAAAGGCACUGCCCUUGCAUGGCCACUGUCUAAUAACUAAAACAGGUAAAAAGACAUACACUACUACCAUCAUCAUCAUCAUCAUCUGUCUCUUUUACAUGGGUUGGACAGUUUGAUUAGAGCUGCACUUGGCUCGACUUUGAUUUGGCAUGGUUUCUAUGGCUUGAUAUCUUUCCUAAUGCUAACCACUUUACAGAGUGUGGGCUGGGUGCUUUUGCAUAAACACCACUUAAGCGCUCUUAUGUAGCACUGGAAUGAUGCCUUUUAUGCUGGGCCAACACACAACUCUUGCAGGCCAAUCCUUUUGACAUGUGCCGGGUGGGGGUGGGGUGGGGGGUGACCUUACCACUUCUGCUAUGUAGUGCGAGUCUUCUUGAAUACAGCAGCAAGGUGUCAGGUAUCUCAGUCCUUUGUCAUCUCAACUGAAAGGUGCAGCUUCUUGAGGUCGUCUUUCAGUACUUCAUCCCAUGUCUUCCUGCGUCUCCCUCUUCCAUGUGUUCCAUCUACUUUCUUAUGGCACUGUCAGCAUCCAUGACCAAACCAGUGCAGCCUUUUUUCUUGCACAUUGCAUCUAAUUUCUCUUAUGCCUAACUUCUCUCUCAAUACACUAUCACUCUGUCAAACAUGUGCACUUACAUUACACAUCCAACAAAGUAUACUAGCCUCAUUCCCCUCUAAACUUUGCAUGUUCUCUGCAUCCAAAGCCCACACCUCACUACCAUGUAGAAGUGCUGUCUGUAUGCGUGCAUCAUACAAUCACUUGCUCAGAUUAAAUGGUUUGACAGGAUGUGACAAGCUGGAGGACUGCACCAAUGUUGUGCACUUUGAUGAGGAUUCUAGUGUCUGCUGUCUUUCUUAAUGCCAAACACUUUAUAGAACUUAUUGGGUGCUUUCUUCUUUGCACCAUCACUACUGUUGGUUUUUCUUGUAUCUUGCCAGGCUAAGGGAAUAUAUAAUCACUGUCACACACACGCACAUUGUGUGAAUAUUGAUUGGGAACUAGGAAAAGAAGAUAAUAGAGAGACUGAACCUUAGAAAAUACCUACUUAUGUUCAUUAUAAAACAUGCUGCUGCCCAGUUACAAUGCCCUUGCACAUGGUCUGAAACACUUACCUAUGUUUAGUUCAGGAUUUCUUGGACAAAAGAUUUCUAAAAACAAAGAAAACACGAUAGAGUUGUUUGUUUUUUGCCAGAUAUUUCUCUUACAAUUAUUUCUUCAUGUCCUCUGAACAAUUCAAACUGUCUUUCACCAAACCCACUGUAGCCUUCAAAAAUUUCAUUCUUUCUGUCAAGUUUAUAAAUUGAUUUGUUAGCCAAUGUAAAUUUUUUGAUAUGUAAUGUAUAUUUUAUUUUUGUAGGUGUCUUGCUAUUGGGAUCCUUGAACUUCCAUGGCACAGUGUCCAGUUAAACAUUUACUGGCAAAACACAAAUAUUUCUCUCUAAUUUUGAAUGAAGUUGCACAUUCUUGCAUGCAGAAGUUUGGUUGGGAAGGGUGAAGCCGAGCCAAGCCAUCUGGGUGUAUUUCGGCUACAAUACUUUCUUAUUUGUUUACAUCAUAAUAUUAAUAUGUUAGUAUUUUCUUAUAAAGAUUCUGAUCAUUCUUUCAAUUGAAAGCAGACUUGUUAUACUGAGAGGAAUGGCAGCCACAGUGUGGGGGAGAGAAAUUUUAGUGGUGGCGGUUAGAGAAGAGAAAAAUGUUAGUGAAUUACCACACACACACAUUUACUGAGAACUAUAGUAGUUUUUUGUAAUAGUAAUGGUUGGUAUGUUAGUUAGAGAAGAUGGGCAUGGUAGUUUUAGUAACAGUAAGGAAGUGAGGGAAAAGAGUUAAUUUUCUUUUUGUAUUGUUGGACUAACAUCAUAUUUAAAAAAAUUCUGUGAUUUAAUGUAUGUUCUUUAGAGUAGAAAACUGAAUCUGGACAUUCUCUCCCAAAAGUUCAACAUUCAAAAAGUGUCUGUUAGGUUUCUAUUAUAGGUGCAUCUGUGACUGUGUGGUAAGAAGCUUGCUUCCUAACCACAUGGUGCUGGUUCAGUCCCACUGCAGAUGAUCUUGGGCAGGUGUCUUUUACUAUUGUCUCAGGCCUUGUGAGCGGACUUGCUUGAGUGAAACAAGCCCAUCAUAUAUAUAUGUGUGUGUGUGUGUGUUUGUGUCUGUUUCUACUCCCACUCCACUUGACAACUGAUGUUGGUGUGUUUACAUCCCUGUAACUUAGAGGUUCAGCAAAAUAUACUGACAGAAUAAGUAAGGGGCUUAAAAAACAUAAGUAUUAGUUGAUUUGUUUGACUAAAAUCUUCCAAGGCAGUGGCCCAGCAUGGCUGCAGUCUAAUGACUGAAACAAGUAAAGAUAAAAGAUAUAGCUUUAAUGAUGUUGCUUUGUUAUUUUUAUUUCAUAGUCCUUUGAUUUGUUGAAUAUCAAAUAUCUUUGCAUUCAGUCUUAAAAUUCAACAUCAAAGGUUUUGCAAUAGGAAAGCGUAAUGAGAAAAGAAAACAGACUGAAGUCAGCUGAAUCAGGCUUAGAGGCGCAGAAAGGAUGCAGUAAUUGAGAGCCAAGCAACAAGAUGAUAUGUAGACCAUGGAAAAAAAAAAAAAAGAGCUCAACAAUGUGAUGUUGUAAAUGAGGAAGAGGGGAAACAACAUGCUCAGAAAGAUCAAAUGAGAAGACAAACAAGAAAUAUUUAUCAAGAAAUAUGACCAAAGAGACAAAAAAUGUGGAAGUUUUCUUGCCAGAAUACUUAGACAAAGUAUAUGGCACAUACUCUGUUCUGUCAGAAUAUAAGAUACACCUGUAAGUACAUGUACGAAGGUUAUGACUAUACUUCUGUAGAGGUAAGAAGUACUGCUAAUACAGAUGGUGAAGCUGUGUCAUGCAAUGAUAAUGUUAAGAUCAAACAUCCCCUCUUCUCCUUUAGAUACAUCUCUUCUCAUACGAAAGUCUGACAGCUUUCUAAGUAGAAAAUCCAUGGGAAAUCUCAACAGUAAAUCAUCUUGCAGCACACUUAUCUAAUGAACAGUAAGUGCAUUGUUGUGUAUAUUCCCCGGUCACAAAACAAUCCAGAGGACAGAAAAAUGAAAGAGAUUUUAUAUGUAUUUUGUAUACACGAAUGUAAUCAAUAAUGAUUAAGAUAAAAUCGUAAUAAGGAAAAAGAAUUGAAAACGAAGCAUAGUUACUCUCCAUCGAUGAGAAAAUCUAACAAGGGAACGAACUCUUGGAUUACCCAAAUACUUCAAAAUCAAACUUAUUUAUAUUGGAAUCCAUUUUAGAGUAAAAAACUUUUAUUCCAGAUAUAGUUGUUGCUAAUAUGGUAACGAAGGCUUUAGGUAGGAUUGUAUUAUUAUUAAUAUGCAGAAAAAGCAUAAUUUAUAAUGUGUUCAAAUAGUUGGUUUGUUGUAGUCGUAUUUACUGAGUAUACAAAAUUCAGGUUAUGGUUCAUAGUUUGGUAAAUAUUUCCAUUCGUUUGCAAAUUUUGGUAAGAGAUUAGUGAGUACAGGUAAAGGGAUAAAUAGCAAAAGUACGCAAGUGACAAAGUGCAGAUUAUUUUUAAUAAUAUUGCACGCUGUUUCGCCUUAAAGCUGUGUUAAUGCUUUUGGUUUCUAUUUACAAAAGAAACAGGCAAUACUUCUGUAUUGGUAGACGGAAUCCUUCACCCGCACAACUUUCCCUCGUGACGUAGGUAAAGAGGCUGAAAAAGAGAGGGAAUGACGAUGUGUUCCCAUAUCGACAUGGAAUACCAAUCGCCCAGAAUAGAACAUUUCAAUGUUAAUUAGGAAUUUUAACAAUUAAAUCUUCGAAUCAAUAAUUUUUAAAGAAUUCUGAAUCUUUUUUUAAUGACAGUGUUAUUUAUCUGAAAUAGAUACAAUCGGUUAUGUGUAAAGCGAGUGGUAAAGUUAUUUUGAAAAUGUUUAUAAUAAAUUUAUUGCUUUCAAUUCUAUAAUUGUGAAGGUUGUUAAUCAUAGUUAAUACAGAGUUGUCUCCCUUGUCUGCACGUGCCCGUGUUGCGUCCGCGCAGUCCGGGAACCGUCAGCUGCAGGUGCGCGGCUAGUUUCCACAAUAGCAUCAUUUCAGUAAUUUCGCCUUCUGUACUGCAAUAAACAAUUUACCAUCUGACCGGUGUAGCGUGGUAGAGAUUGUGUAAGCAAAUGUUGUAUAUCUGUGACAUGAUAAUAUAUUUUCAAUUUACCAUAGCUUACUGGUGUAGCAUUAAGAUUAUAUUUGUGUUUGCGCUUGUAGAAAGGAAUUUGUUUCUAACGACUGGGAGAAAUCAUAAGGGAGUGAGUCGAGGUGCAGUUGCCAUCAACAAGUUGAACACACAGCAUCGUGCGGAUAUCUGCACGUUUGUCGUUUGGGGCCGUCAAAACCCAUUUGUCUAAGAAUGUGGUGAAGCGAGGCCCUAUAGACAUAUUUAUCAAGCUGAGACAUCCAGUUGCUGAAUGCGAUUUUCAAUCAGAUGAUGGCGAUGUAAAUGGCCAUUGCAGAGGCCCCUGCAGCACCUACAACCACAGGGGCCUCUGCAGUUGGGGGUCCCAUGUUAAGAUCAAAGUACAUAGAUGAGUAAUCUAUUUACUUUGGUUAAGAAGUUGACUGAAAAUUUCAAGCCAAAUGAGGUAAAAAGUAUGAGGGUGCACUGUAAAUAAAUCUAAAAGAAAUGAAAAAUGCUUGUCAACGAAUUCCCUCGGGAGAUAAAAGAAAAAACAAAAGAAAUCCCCCAAAACUGAAAAUAUGAACAACUUCAACAGAGAAGACAAGAAAAAGCAGCAGUGGGGAUGAAAGAUCUCAAGUGAUGUUGUUCUGAAAGCAUGAAUCUGGUGCACAAAAUGAGAGCAACUGGCAAACGACAGGAAGCGUAUGGCUGGAAUUAUGGAUCAAUUUAUGCUACCAUAUACAUCAGUGACAUUAUUAUCAUCAAAUAGCAAUGCACCACAGCCCGGAGAAGACGGGCAAGCAAAUAAUGAUGGAAACACCGAACAACAACAAAUGCAAGGAUGCGAUGAAAAUUCACAGCAGGUUUCUACAUUUUCAGCAGCGGAGGGAAAUGCAAAGGACUUAUAUGAUGCAUACUGUCAACAAUCUUUACCUAUUGCUGAAAAUAUGGUUGUGCAACAAGAAGCAGUCACUAUCACUACUGACCCUGCAUCUUGGCUAGAAACUAUAUCUGAUGGCAUGCAUAAUCACAUUAUGAAACUUGGAGCUGUUCAAGUAAAAAGAUACCAAUUUUCUAAAUCAAAAGAAAACCGCAGAUUCAAUCCUGACUUCUUUUCUAAGAUGCUGCUAAAUGGCAAAAACAUAGUUCGAAUGUGGUUUGUAUAUUCAAUUCAGCAUGAUGUGGUAUGUUGUUUCUGUUGCAAUCUGUUCGGUCAUUGUAAAAUGAGACUAACAUCUGAAGGAUUCAGCAGUUGACAAUCUCUGAAGCAAGUCCUUAGAAGAACAUGAGAAAGCAAUGGACCAUAGACAGUACAUGAUGAAAUGGAAGGAGCUUGAAUUUCACCUUAAAACAUAAUCACAAACAUAAUCACGCACACACAUACACACACACACACAUUAAUACCGUUAUAUACAGUCACACACACAGACACUCACUAACAAAAGAAAAUUCACCAUUCAUUUGAACUGCACCCUUUCACCUUCCUAUU